Molecule: ribosomal RNA, 110 nt
Filed under: uncultured bacterium
Lineage: Bacteria
Description: partial 16S ribosomal RNA
Source: RNAcentral
ACCGGAGCGACGCCGCGUGUGGGAACGUAAGGGCCUUACGGGUCGUAAACCUACUGUCGAAGGGACGAUAAUGACGGUACCCUUGGAGGAAGCCCCGGCUAACUACGUGC